Molecule: ribosomal RNA, 155 nt
Filed under: Escherichia coli
Lineage: Bacteria; Pseudomonadati; Pseudomonadota; Gammaproteobacteria; Enterobacterales; Enterobacteriaceae
Description: partial 16S ribosomal RNA
Rfam family: Bacterial small subunit ribosomal RNA
Source: RNAcentral
CUUGUACACACCGCCCGUCACACCACGAGAGUUUGUAACACCCGAAGCCGGUGGAGUAACCUUUUAGGAGCUAGCCGUCGAAGGUGGGACAAAGGAUUGGGGUGAAGUCGUAACAAGGUAGCCGUAUCGGAAGGUGCGGCUGGAUCACCUCCUUU